Brienomyrus brachyistius is the source of this 1098-nucleotide long non-coding RNA. RefSeq lists it as uncharacterized. The record is from RefSeq and is a predicted model, not a curated record. Lineage: Eukaryota; Metazoa; Chordata; Actinopteri; Osteoglossiformes; Mormyridae. The transcript has 4 exons.
CUGGACCCUAGGAUGCCCAGAGUCCAUUUCCUGUUGUGUCGGUCCGGUGAAAGUGAUACGCCUUUCUGAAAUGGGGUUACUGUCCUGAUAUUCAGCGUCAUGCGGAUCAGACUGAGUUGGAGCAGGCUCAGCCACAGGUCCCAUGUCCCCAGUCUCAUCUCGUCCGUCACCUCUCCUGAGGGGGGAGGUUCUGUCACGACCAGCUCAUCCAAUCCUUACACCUGUUCCUGACCCAGUUUCAAAAUCCACACAGACUUUGAGCAGUCUAUUUCAGAGCUCCGCUGACCCAGGCAAGACUGGACUCAACUCUUCAAACCACCCCUUUUAAGGAAUGCAAAGCCCUGCCGGCUCCUGAGAAUAACUGGAGCAAUACAGAAAAAGCAAGACCUUUCACCCCCUGGAGUGGCCGGAGUUCCACAGUCAAUCCACAGAACAACAGCUGUCAGUCCCCAGACACAGACACCUUUUCCACUAGAAAAAGGAUAACUCACCACACAUAGAUGUUAAGGACAAAUACACGCAUGUUUGGUCUCGUUUGAAUGGGCAUGAGAUGGCGAAUAUUAUACUCUCAGAGUUAAGGCAGUAGAACUUUCCCCAAGGGAAAUAUAGAUAAUUUGGCUAAAUCUACAAAAAUGAGAGAGCCUCCCACAUGGUAGAACAAGGGAAUUAUAACCACCCCCUAAAGUGAUCUGAUUGGCUGGGGACUUGAGAACCAAGGCCAGCAAUGGCCCUAAAAUUAACUAUUGACCGAAAUUGGUCAAUCUUCAGAGACAUGCCAUCACCUGGUUGGGAUACUUAAGGAAGGGCCUCAGAAGAGGUCGGGGAGUCACUCUGUAGUCAGAGCUCCCACAAAGAACUGGGCGAAAGUCUUAUUAGCCAUCUCUCUGAUUUGACUUUCCUUGCCGGCCUCAGGAGAAUGGGCUCCCCGUUUGAGUCUGGUCCCUCCCAAGGUUUCUUCCUUCUAGGGAGUUUUUCCUUGCCACUGUCGCCUCUGGCUUACUCCCUGGGGACUUUGGGCAGGGAUGCUGUAAAGCACUUUGAGACAAUGUAAUGUUGUGAAAACGUGGUAUACAAAAAUAAAUUUGUUGUUGUAAAGAA